Non-coding RNA from Rattus norvegicus (Norway rat), 292 nucleotides. NCBI's taxonomy places the organism in Eukaryota, Metazoa, Chordata, Mammalia, Rodentia, Muridae. The record is from Rfam.
GGAAGGGCAAUCUAAGUGUGACCUCUGUCACCCCAUUGAUCACCAAUGUUGAUUCAGCUGAUCUGCUUAGCUAGCCAGGUAUCGUCUUCCUUCCUCAUCACUCCAUAUGCAAUCCUUCCAAAGAUACAUACUUUGUGGAAGAGGAAGACUUUCCCUGAAUAGGGAAGGAGUUCUCUUUUUUCAAAUAUUUAUAAAUAGCCUCACUCCCCUACUAGACCUCAAAAUAAGCUCUUAAAAGUCUUAUAUUAGACUAACCCAUAACCAGAAUUAUCGUGUUCUAUUGAAUGCCUAU